RNAcentral lists this ribosomal RNA (301 nucleotides) under uncultured bacterium. RNAcentral describes it as "partial 16S ribosomal RNA". It matches the Rfam family "Bacterial small subunit ribosomal RNA", at positions 509 to 807 of the family's 1533-position model. The record is from RNAcentral.
CAGUAGCCGCGGGAAUACGUAGGGUGCAAGCGUUAAUCGGAAUUACUGGGCGUAAAGCGUGCGCAGGCGGUUAUAUAAGUCAGAUGUGAAAUCCCCGGGCUCAACCUGGGAACUGCAUUUGAGACUGCAUGGCUAGAGUGUGUCAGAGGGGGGUAGAAUUCCACGUGUAGCAGUGAAAUGCGUAGAUAUGUGGAGGAAUACCGAUGGCGAAGGCAGCCCCCUGGGAUAACACUGUCGCUCAUGCACGAAAGCGUGGGGAGCAAACAGGAUUAGAUACCCCAGUAGUCCCUGUCUCUUAUAC